RNAcentral lists this non-coding RNA (29 nucleotides) under Rattus norvegicus (Norway rat). Lineage: Eukaryota; Metazoa; Chordata; Mammalia; Rodentia; Muridae. The record is from RNAcentral.
UGAUUUUAGACUAGACUGUGGGUGUGGAA